Molecule: non-coding RNA, 144 nt
Organism: Hyaloscypha variabilis F
Lineage: Eukaryota; Fungi; Ascomycota; Leotiomycetes; Helotiales; Hyaloscyphaceae
Source: the annotation of a GenBank genome assembly
GGUGUUGUCGCUUAACGGUAAAGCGCACGAGAUACACCCAACGGAUUGUGAAAUAGAGGAUGUCAUGCUUUGCAUUUGAGAUCCGGCUCCGAAGCAAUCUGUUUGUGCAAUCGUGAGAUGCUAGUUCGAAUCCAGCUGACUCCU